CCGUACUAGCCGGGGAGUUAGCGGUGCCCUCAACCUGCAAUCCGCUACAGCAGGGGUGAAUUCCUCGCCAAGGUUAUAAAAUGUGUGGUCUGACUUAUAUAAGUGGUGUUGAGAACUGGGCCCCACGCAAUGAAAAUUCAUGAACCCCGUGAGAUUCGGAAGGAAGCAGCGGUAAGUGGACACUUUCAUGUGCCGUGGACCAACCUGGUUUGAGCUAACUGUAUAGGUAUCGCGCAUAGUUUAUUUAUCGAAGCGAGGUGUACGG
Clostridium estertheticum is the source of this 265-nucleotide non-coding RNA. It matches the Rfam family "Bacterial large signal recognition particle RNA". From Rfam's summary of the family: The signal recognition particle (SRP) is a universally conserved ribonucleoprotein involved in the co-translational targeting of proteins to membranes. Archaeal SRP consists of a 7S RNA and homologues of the eukaryotic SRP19 and SRP54 proteins. NCBI's taxonomy places the organism in Bacteria, Bacillati, Bacillota, Clostridia, Eubacteriales, Clostridiaceae. The record is from Rfam.